GACGAACGCUGGCGGCGUGCCUAAUACAUGCAAGUCUAAGGGGUGUACAUCCUUCGGGGUGUGCAUCACUGGCGCACGGGUGAGUAACGCGUAAGUUAUCUGCCCCUGGGUCUGGCAUAACCUCGGGAAACCGGGACUAAUUCCAGAUGAUACCGAAAGGUCAAAGCUUCGGCGCCCAGGGAUGAGCUUGCGUCUGAUUAGCUUGUUGGCGGGGUAAUGGCCCACCAAGGCUUCGAUCAGUAGCCGGUCUGAGAGGAUGAUCGGCCACAUUGGGACUGAGACACGGCCCAGACUCCUACGGGAGGCAGCAGUAAGGAAUAUUGCGCAAUGGACGAAAGUCUGACGCAGCAACGCCGCGUGCAGGAUGAAGGCCCUUUUGGGUUGUAAACUGCUGUAGCAGGGGAAUAAGUUCUCCCUCGGGGAGAGUGAAGGCACCCUGAAAGUAAGCGCCGGCUAACUACGUGCCAGCAGCCG
RNAcentral lists this ribosomal RNA (474 nucleotides) under uncultured bacterium. RNAcentral's name for it is "bacterial SSU rRNA". It matches the Rfam family "Bacterial small subunit ribosomal RNA", at positions 28 to 517 of the family's 1533-position model. The record is from RNAcentral.